RNAcentral lists this transfer RNA (69 nucleotides) under Xenapatidea procincta. RNAcentral's name for it is "tRNA-Val". The record is from RNAcentral. Lineage: Eukaryota; Metazoa; Arthropoda; Insecta; Hymenoptera; Tenthredinidae.
CAAAUUAAAUUUUUAUAAUAUAAUUUAUUUACAAUAAAUUUAUUAGUUGUUUAAUUCAACUUAAUUUGA